Molecule: ribosomal RNA, 466 nt
Filed under: uncultured bacterium
Lineage: Bacteria
Description: bacterial SSU rRNA
Rfam family: Bacterial small subunit ribosomal RNA
Source: RNAcentral
GCUGGCGGCGAUGCCUAAUACAUGCAAGUCGAGCGAAUGGAUUAAGAGCUUGCUCUUAUGAAGUUAGCGGCGGACGGGUGAGUAACACGUGGGUAACCUGCCCAUAAGACUGGGAUAACUCCGGGAAACCGGGGCUAAUACCGGAUAAUAUUUUGAACCGCAUGGUUCGAAAUUGAAAGGCGGCUUCGGCUGUCACUUAUGGAUGGACCCGCGUCGCAUUAGCUAGUUGGUGAGGUAACGGCUCACCAAGGCAACGAUGCGUAGCCGACCUGAGAGGGUGAUCGGCCACACUGGGACUGAGACACGGCCCAGACUCCUACGGGAGGCAGCAGUAGGGAAUCUUCCGCAAUGGACGAAAGUCUGACGGAGCAACGCCGCGUGAGUGAUGAAGGCUUUCGGGUCGUAAAACUCUGUUGUUAGGGAAGAACAAGUGCUAGUUGAAUAAGCUGGCACCUUUGACGACUAA